GCCAAUAGAACCUUCCUUUUUUUUUUUUUUUCCUUUAUUUUUUUUACCCCCCACUUCUUACUAGAGAAAUUCGUGUUGCCUCAGCAAUUAAGGAGAAGAGCCAGCAUCUAGGGUUCCAGGCUGUGAGGGGAAGUAGCAACUUGUACCAGCAGCCACAGUCUUCAGCUGUUCUUGCAGGAGAUGGAGGGAGGCUUCAUUGAGUCUUCACAAAGGGAAGAAUUUUCAAAUUAAUAAUUAGGUGAGUUUAAAAGAAGCAACUGCAGCAAGAUUUUGCUGUGAAUUGCCUGG
RNAcentral lists this long non-coding RNA (288 nucleotides) under Parus major (Great Tit). RNAcentral's name for it is "lncRNA (ENSPMJG00000011397.1)". The record is from RNAcentral. Lineage: Eukaryota; Metazoa; Chordata; Aves; Passeriformes; Paridae.